Molecule: ribosomal RNA, 432 nt
Filed under: uncultured bacterium
Lineage: Bacteria
Description: bacterial SSU rRNA
Rfam family: Bacterial small subunit ribosomal RNA
Source: RNAcentral
AACGAACGCUGGCGGCAGGCCUAACACAUGCAAGUCGAACGCCCUAGCAAUAGGGAGUGGCAGACGGGUGAGUAACACGUGGGAACCUUCCCUAUAGUAUGGAAUAGCCCAGGGAAACUUGGAGUAAUACCGUAUACGCCCGAGAGGGGAAAGAUUUAUCGCUAUAGGAUGGGCCCGCGUAGGAUUAGCUAGUUGGUGAGGUAAUGGCUCACCAAGGCGACGAUCCUUAGCUGGUCUGAGAGGACGACCAGCCACACUGGGACUGAGACACGGCCCAGACUCCUACGGGAGGCAGCAGUGGGGAAUAUUGGACAAUGGGCGCAAGCCUGAUCCGGCCAUGCCGCGUGAGUGAUGAAGGCCUUAGGGUUGUAAAGCUCUUUUGCCGGGGACGAUAAUGACGGUACCCGGAGAAUAAGUCCGGCUAACUUCGUG